UGCCCCGUCGCCAAGUGGCAAGGCAUCGGUUUUUGGUGCCGACAUUCGUUAGUUCGAAUCUAACCGGGGCAGCCA
This 75-nucleotide transfer RNA is filed under the name Mycoplasma iguanae. Its description in RNAcentral is "tRNA-Gln". It matches the Rfam family "tRNA". From Rfam's summary of the family: Transfer RNA (tRNA) molecules are approximately 80 nucleotides in length. Their secondary structure includes four short double-helical elements and three loops (D, anti-codon, and T loops). Lineage: Bacteria; Bacillati; Mycoplasmatota; Mollicutes; Mycoplasmatales; Mycoplasmataceae. The record is from RNAcentral.